GUUUGUCGCGUUGUUCGUGAAAUCUCACGGCUUAACUGUGAGCGUGCGGGCGAUACGGGCAGACUUGAGUACUGCAGGGGAGACUGGAAUUCCUGGUGUAGCGGUGGAAUGCGCAGAUAUCAGGAGGAACACCGGUGGCGAAGGCGGGUCUCUGGGCAGUAACUGACGCUGAGGAGCGAAAGCGUGGGGAGCGAACAGGAUUAGAUACCCUGGUAGUCCACGCCGUAAACGGUGGGUACUAGGUGUGGGUUUCCUUCCUUGGGAUCCGUGCCGUAGCUAACGCAUUAAGUACCCCGCCUGGGGAGUACGGCCGCAAGGCUAAAACUCAAAGAAAUUGACGGGGGCCCGCACAAGCGGCGGAGCAUGUGGAUUAAUUCGAUGCAACGCGAAGAACCUUACCUGGGUUUGACAUGCACAGGACGCCGGCAGAGAUGUCGGUUCCCUUGUGGCCUGUGUGCAGGUGGUGCAUGGCUGUCGUCAGCUCGUGUCGUGAGAUGUUGGGUUAAGUCCCGCAACGAGCGCAACCCUUGUCUCAUGUUGCCAGCGGGUAAUGCCGGGGACUCGUGAGAGACUGCCGGGGUCAACUCGGAGGAAGGUGGGGAUGACGUCAAGUCAUCAUGCCCCUUAUGUCCAGGGCUUCACACAUGCUACAAUGGCCGGUACAAAGGGCUGCGAUGCCGCGAGGUUAAGCGAAUCCUUUUAAAGCCGGUCUCAGUUCGGAUCG
Molecule: ribosomal RNA, 724 nt
Filed under: uncultured bacterium
Lineage: Bacteria
Description: bacterial SSU rRNA
Rfam family: Bacterial small subunit ribosomal RNA
Source: RNAcentral